UCCCUAGUAGCUCAGAUGGUAAAGUGUCUGCCUACAAUGCAGGAGACCUGGGCUCGAUCCCUGGGUUGGGAA
Molecule: transfer RNA, 72 nt
Filed under: Ovis aries (sheep)
Lineage: Eukaryota; Metazoa; Chordata; Mammalia; Artiodactyla; Bovidae
Rfam family: tRNA
About the family: Transfer RNA (tRNA) molecules are approximately 80 nucleotides in length.
Source: Rfam by way of RNAcentral